RNAcentral lists this ribosomal RNA (253 nucleotides) under uncultured bacterium. RNAcentral describes it as "partial 16S ribosomal RNA". It matches the Rfam family "Bacterial small subunit ribosomal RNA", at positions 524 to 776 of the family's 1533-position model. The record is from RNAcentral.
UACAGAGGUCUCAAGCGUUGUUCGGAUUCAUUGGGCGUAAAGGGUGCGUAGGCGGCGCGGUAAGUCGGGUGUGAAAUCUCGGGGCUUAACUCCGAAACUGCAUUCGAUACUGCCGUGCUUGAGGACUGGAGAGGAGACUGGAAUUUACGGUGUAGCGGUGAAAUGCGUAGAUAUCAGGAGGAACACCGGUGGCGAAGGCGGGUCUCUGGGCCGACAUUGACGCUGAGGCGCGACAGCGUGGGGAGCAAACAGG